AAAUUGAAGAGUUUGAUCAUGGCUCAGAUUGAACGCUGGCGGCAGGCCUAACACAUGCAAGUCGAACGGUAACAGGAAGCAGCUUGCUGCUUUGCUGACGAGUGGCGGACGGGUGAGUAAUGUCUGGGAAACUGCCUGAUGGAGGGGGAUAACUACUGGAAACGGUAGCUAAUACCGCAUAACGUCGCAAGACCAAAGAGGGGGACCUUCGGGCCUCUUGCCAUCGGAUGUGCCCAGAUGGGAUUAGCUUGUAGGUGGGGUAACGGCUCACCUAGGCGACGAUCCCUAGCUGGUCUGAGAGGAUGACCAGCCACACUGGAACUGAGACACGGUCCAGACUCCUACGGGAGGCAGCAGUGGGGAAUAUUGCACAAUGGGCGCAAGCCUGAUGCAGCCAUGCCGCGUGUAUGAAGAAGGCCUUCGGGUUGUAAAGUACUUUCAGCGGGGAGGAAGGGAGUAAAGUUAAUACCUUUGCUCAUUGACGUUACCCGCAGAAGAAGCACCGGCUAACUCCGUGCCAGCAGCCGCGGUAAUACGGAGGGUGCAAGCGUUAAUCGGAAUUACUGGGCGUAAAGCGCACGCAGGCGGUUUGUUAAGUCAGAUGUGAAAUCCCCGGGCUCAACCUGGGAACUGCAUCUGAUACUGGCAAGCUUGAGUCUCGUAGAGGGGGGUAGAAUUCCAGGUGUAGCGGUGAAAUGCGUAGAGAUCUGGAGGAAUACCGGUGGCGAAGGCGGCCCCCUGGACGAAGACUGACGCUCAGGUGCGAAAGCGUGGGGAGCAAACAGGAUUAGAUACCCUGGUAGUCCACGCCGUAAACGAUGUCGACUUGGAGGUUGUGCCCUUGAGGCGUGGCUUCCGGAGCUAACGCGUUAAGUCGACCGCCUGGGGAGUACGGCCGCAAGGUUAAAACUCAAAUGAAUUGACGGGGGCCCGCACAAGCGGUGGAGCAUGUGGUUUAAUUCGAUGCAACGCGAAGAACCUUACCUGGUCUUGACAUCCACGGAAGUUUUCAGAGAUGAGAAUGUGCCUUCGGGAACCGUGAGACAGGUGCUGCAUGGCUGUCGUCAGCUCGUGUUGUGAAAUGUUGGGUUAAGUCCCGCAACGAGCGCAACCCUUAUCCUUUGUUGCCAGCGGUCCGGCCGGGAACUCAAAGGAGACUGCCAGUGAUAAACUGGAGGAAGGUGGGGAUGACGUCAAGUCAUCAUGGCCCUUACGACCAGGGCUACACACGUGCUACAAUGGCGCAUACAAAGAGAAGCGACCUCGCGAGAGCAAGCGGACCUCAUAAAGUGCGUCGUAGUCCGGAUUGGAGUCUGCAACUCGACUCCAUGAAGUCGGAAUCGCUAGUAAUCGUGGAUCAGAAUGCCACGGUGAAUACGUUCCCGGGCCUUGUACACACCGCCCGUCACACCAUGGGAGUGGGUUGCAAAAGAAGUAGGUAGCUUAACCUUCGGGAGGGCGCUUACCACUUUGUGAUUCAUGACUGGGGUGAAGUCGUAACAAGGUAACCGUAGGGGAACCUGCGGUUGGAUCACCUCCUUACCUUAAAGAA
Molecule: ribosomal RNA, 1552 nt
Filed under: Escherichia fergusonii
Lineage: Bacteria; Pseudomonadati; Pseudomonadota; Gammaproteobacteria; Enterobacterales; Enterobacteriaceae
Description: bacterial SSU rRNA
Rfam family: Bacterial small subunit ribosomal RNA
Source: RNAcentral